UACGAAGGGAGCUAGCGUUGUUCGGAAUCACUGGGCGUAAAGCGCAUGUAGGCGGAUCCAUAAGUCGGGCGUGAAAUCCCCAGGCUCAACCUGGGAACUGCGUUCGAAACUGUGGGUCUAGAGUGUCGGAGAGGAUGGCGGAAUUCCUGGUGUAGAGGUGAAAUUCGUAGAUAUCAGGAGGAACACCGGUGGCGAAGGCGGCCAUCUGGACGAAAACUGACGCUGAGAUGCGAAAGCGUGGGGAGCAAACAGG
Molecule: ribosomal RNA, 253 nt
Filed under: uncultured bacterium
Lineage: Bacteria
Description: partial 16S ribosomal RNA
Rfam family: Bacterial small subunit ribosomal RNA
Source: RNAcentral